RNAcentral lists this ribosomal RNA (761 nucleotides) under Prevotella melaninogenica. RNAcentral describes it as "bacterial SSU rRNA". It matches the Rfam family "Bacterial small subunit ribosomal RNA", at positions 28 to 776 of the family's 1533-position model. The record is from RNAcentral. Lineage: Bacteria; Pseudomonadati; Bacteroidota; Bacteroidia; Bacteroidales; Prevotellaceae.
GAUGAACGCUAGCUACAGGCUUAACACAUGCAAGUCGAGGGGAAACGGCAUUAAGUGCUUGCACUUUUUGGACGUCGACCGGCGCACGGGUGAGUAACGCGUAUCCAACCUUCCCAUGACUAAGGGAUAACCUGCCGAAAGGCAGACUAAUACCUUAUGGUCUUCACUGACGGCAUCAGAUGUGAAGUAAAGAUUUAUCGGUUAUGGAUGGGGAUGCGUCUGAUUAGCUUGUUGGCGGGGUAACGGCCCACCAAGGCAACGAUCAGUAGGGGUUCUGAGAGGAAGGUCCCCCACAUUGGAACUGAGACACGGUCCAAACUCCUACGGGAGGCAGCAGUGAGGAAUAUUGGUCAAUGGGCGAGAGCCUGAACCAGCCAAGUAGCGUGCAGGAUGACGGCCCUAUGGGUUGUAAACUGCUUUUGUAUGGGGAUAAAGUCAAUCACGUGUGAUUGUUUGCAGGUACCAUGCGAAUAAGGACCGGCUAAUUCCGUGCCAGCAGCCGCGGUAAUACGGAAGGUCCGGGCGUUAUCCGGAUUUAUUGGGUUUAAAGGGAGCGUAGGCUGGAGAUUAAGUGUGUUGUGAAAUGUAGACGCUCAACGUCUGACUUGCAGCGCAUACUGGUUUCCUUGAGUACGCACAACGUUGGCGGAAUUCGUCGUGUAGCGGUGAAAUGCUUAGAUAUGACGAAGAACUCCGAUUGCGAAGGCAGCUGACGGGAGCGCAACUGACGCUGAAGCUCGAAGGUGCGGGUAUCGAACAGG